CGAACGGGUGAGUAACACGUGGGCAAUCUGCCCUUCACUCUGGGACAAGCCCUGGAAACGGGGUCUAAUACCGGAUAACACCGGCUUCCGCAUGGAAGCUGGUUGAAAGCUCCGGCGGUGAAGGAUGAGCCCGCGGCCUAUCAGCUUGUUGGUGGGGUAAUGGCCUACCAAGGCGACGACGGGUAGCCGGCCUGAGAGGGCGACCGGCCACACUGGGACUGAGACACGGCCCAGACUCCUACGGGAGGCAGCAGUGGGGAAUAUUGCACAAUGGGCGAAAGCCUGAUGCAGCGACGCCGCGUGAGGGAUGACGGCCUUCGGGUUGUAAACCUCUUUCAGCAGGGAAGAAGCGAAAGUGACGGUACCUGCAGAAGAAGCGCCGGCUAACUACGUGCCAGCAGCCGCGGUAAUACGUAGGGCGCAAGCGUUGUCCGGAAUUAUUGGGCGUAAAGAGCUCGUAGGCGGCUUGUCACGUCGGGUGUGAAAGCCCGGGGCUUAACCCCGGGUCUGCAUCCGAUACGGGCAGGCUAGAGUGUGGUAGGGGAGAUCGGAAUUCCUGGUGUAGCGGUGAAAUGCGCAGAUAUCAGGAGGAACACCGGUGGCGAAGGCGGAUCUCUGGGCCAUUACUGACGCUGAGGAGCGAAAGCGUGGGGAGCGAACAGGAUUAGAUACCCUGGUAGUCCACGCCGUAAACGUUGGGAACUAGGUGUUGGCGACAUUCCACGUCGUCGGUGCCGCAGCUAACGCAUU
This 750-nucleotide ribosomal RNA is filed under the name Streptomyces lateritius. RNAcentral describes it as "bacterial SSU rRNA". It matches the Rfam family "Bacterial small subunit ribosomal RNA", at positions 99 to 861 of the family's 1533-position model. Lineage: Bacteria; Bacillati; Actinomycetota; Actinomycetes; Kitasatosporales; Streptomycetaceae. The record is from RNAcentral.